GUACUUGCUUCGGCAGCACAUACACUAAAAUUAGAAUGAUACAGAGAAGAUUAGGAUGACCCCUGCACAAAUAUGAGCUGAGCCUGGACAACUUAGGGAGACCUUA
Fukomys damarensis (Damara mole-rat) is the source of this 106-nucleotide small nuclear RNA. The record is from Ensembl. Lineage: Eukaryota; Metazoa; Chordata; Mammalia; Rodentia; Bathyergidae.